AUGGCCGGCCGCCGCGCGCCGCACGUCAUGAGCCUCCACGACUCCGGCCCGCCGCUGCUCGGCCGCGCGCCGCAGCACCCGCAGCCCGGCGACGACCGCGACGAGCCCCCGCACGGCGCCCUCCUCCACCACCCGCGCGGGGGCCCCGCGCAGCACCCCGCCGUGGCGGCCCUCGAGGACCGCAUCGUCGCCCGGGACCGGGACAUCCAGGAGUUCCUCGUCGACAACCAGCGGUUCGCCGCCACCCACGUCGCGCUCCAGCAGCAGCUCAUCUCCGCGCAGCACGAGCUCCGCGCCGUCUCCAUCGCCGGCACCAGGGCCCGCAUGGAGCGCGAGGCCGACGUCUGCAACAUCGCCGACCAGGCCGCGCGCAUCGAGGCCGAGGCGCGCUCCGUCGCCGGCGCGCGCGUGGAGAUCGAGCAGGUCCACGCCGAUGUGCGGGUGCUCGCUGCCGCUCGCAACGAACUCAUGGACCGGCUCAAAGGCCUCCGCGAGCAGCUAGGGUGCGCGCAGUCCAAUUCCGCCAAGUCGGAGAACGUCCGCUCGCAGAUUGAGACCAUGCGACGGGAGAUCCAGAAGGGCAGGGCUGCGGUUGAAUUCGAAAAGAAGGCACAUGCUGAUAACCUUUUACAAAGUAAAGCAAUGGAGAAAAAUAUGAUUGCUGUGGCUAGUGAGAUUGAGAGGCUUCGGGGUGAGCUUUUAAAUGCUGAAAAGCGGGCCACUGCUGUCACCACAGCAGCAGCUGUAACUAACCCUGGGUAUGCUCAACCGUAUAGCAGUUCUGAGGCGACAUAUGCCACAAUGUAUGGCAAUCCCGAGGCAGCAUAUGCAGCAUAUGGCAGUGCUGAGGCAACAUAUGCUGGAACAUAUGCCAAUUCUGAUGCUUAUAGCACCACUAAUCAGGCUCAGACUCGCACCGAUGGCAAUCAACAUUACAUGGCCCAGCCGGUUCACUAUGCGCAGUACGAGGGCCAGCAGCAGCAGCAGCAGCAGCACACCGAUGCGCAAAGAUGA
This 1014-nucleotide ribosomal RNA is filed under the name Triticum aestivum (bread wheat). RNAcentral's name for it is "partial small subunit ribosomal RNA". The record is from RNAcentral. Lineage: Eukaryota; Viridiplantae; Streptophyta; Magnoliopsida; Poales; Poaceae.